GGAAUUUUCCGCAAUGGGCGAAAGCCUGACGGAGCAACGCCGCGUGAGGGAUGAAGGCCUCUGGGCUGUAAACCUCUUUUAUCAAGGAAGAAGAUCUGACGGUACUUGAUGAAUAAGCCACGGCUAAUUCCGUGCCAGCAGCCGCGGUAAUACGGGAGUGGCAAGCGUUAUCCGGAAUUAUUGGGCGUAAAGCGUCCGUAGGCGGUCUUUUAAGUCUGUCGUCAAAGCGUGGAGCUUAACUCCAUUUCUGCGAUGGAAACUGGGAGACUAGAGUGUGGUAGGGGCAGAGGGAAUUCCCGGUGUAGCGGUGAAAUGCGUAGAUAUCGGGAAGAACACCAGUGGCGAAGGCGCUCUGCUGGGCCAUAACUGACGCUCAUGGACGAAAGCCAGGGGAGCGAAAGGGAUUAGAUACCCCUGUAGUCCUGGCCGUAAACGAUGAACACUAGGUGUCGGGGGAAUCGACCCCCUCGGUGUCGUAGCCAACGCGUUAAGUGUUCCGCCUGGGGAGUACGCACGCAAGUGUGAAACUCAAAUGAAUUGACGG
This 544-nucleotide ribosomal RNA is filed under the name uncultured bacterium. RNAcentral's name for it is "bacterial SSU rRNA". It matches the Rfam family "Bacterial small subunit ribosomal RNA", at positions 358 to 916 of the family's 1533-position model. The record is from RNAcentral.